CCUACGGGCGGCAGCAGUCGAGAAUCAUUCACAAUGGGGGAAACCCUGAUGGUGCGACGCCGCGUGGGGGAAUGAAGGUCUUCGGAUUGUAAACCCCUGUCAUGUGGGAGCAAAUUAAAAAGAUAGUACCACAAGAGGAAGAGACGGCUAACUCUGUUCCAACAGCCGCGGUAAUACAGAGGUCUCAAGCGUUGUUCGGAAUCACUGGGCGUAAGGCGUGCGUAGGCUGUUUCGUAAGUAGUGUGUGAAAGGCGCGGGCUCAACCCGCGGACGGCACAUGAUACUGCGAGACUAGAGUAAUGGAGGGGGAACCGGAAUUCUCGGUGUAGCAGUGAAAUGCGUAGAUAUCGAGAGGAACACUCGUGGCGAAGGCGGGUUCCUGGACAUUAACUGACGCUGAGGCACGAAGGCCAGGGGAGCGAAAGGGAUUAGAUACCCGGGUAGUC
This 446-nucleotide ribosomal RNA is filed under the name uncultured bacterium. RNAcentral's name for it is "partial 16S ribosomal RNA". It matches the Rfam family "Bacterial small subunit ribosomal RNA", at positions 338 to 795 of the family's 1533-position model. The record is from RNAcentral.